UAGGGAAUCUUCCGCAAUGGACGCAAGUCUGACGGAGCAACGCCGCGUGAGUGAAGAAGGAUUUCGGUUCGUAAAACUCUGUUGUUAGAGAAGAACAGCGCAUAGAGUAACUGUUAUGCGUGUGACGGUAUCUAACCAGAAAGCCACGGCUAACUACGUGCCAGCAGCCGCGGUAAUACGUAGGUGGCAAGCGUUGUCCGGAUUUAUUGGGCGUAAAGCGAGCGCAGGCGGUCAAUUAAGUCUGAUGUGAAAGCCCCCGGCUCAACCGGGGAGGGUCAUUGGAAACUGGUUGACUUGAGUGCAGAAGAGGAGAGUGGAAUUCCAUGUGUAGCGGUGAAAUGCGUAGAUAUAUAGAAGAACACCAGUGGCGAAGGCGACUCUCUAGUCUGUAACUAACGCUGAGGCUCGAAAGCGUGGGUAGCAAACAGG
This 429-nucleotide ribosomal RNA is filed under the name Bacteroidota bacterium. Its description in RNAcentral is "Bacteroidetes bacterium partial 16S ribosomal RNA". It matches the Rfam family "Bacterial small subunit ribosomal RNA", at positions 355 to 776 of the family's 1533-position model. The record is from RNAcentral. Lineage: Bacteria; Pseudomonadati; Bacteroidota.